This 429-nucleotide ribosomal RNA is filed under the name Gemmatimonadota bacterium. Its description in RNAcentral is "Gemmatimonadetes bacterium partial 16S ribosomal RNA". It matches the Rfam family "Bacterial small subunit ribosomal RNA", at positions 355 to 776 of the family's 1533-position model. The record is from RNAcentral. Lineage: Bacteria; Pseudomonadati; Gemmatimonadota.
UAGGGAAUCUUCGGCAAUGGACGAAAGUCUGACCGAGCAACGCCGCGCGAGUGAAGAAGGUUUUCGGAUCGUAAAACUCUGUUGUUAGAGAAGAACAAGGACGUUAGUAACUGAACGUCCCCUGACGGUAUCUAACCAGAAAGCCACGGCUAACUACGUGCCAGCAGCCGCGGUAAUACGUAGGUGGCAAGCGUUGUCCGGAUGUAUUGGGCGUAAAGCGAGCGCAGGCGGUUUCUUAAGUCUGAUGUGAAAGCCCCCGGCUCAACCGGGGAGGGUCAUUGGAAACUGGGAGAGUUGAGUGCAGAAGAGGAGAGUGGAAUUCCAUGUGUAGCGGGGAAAUGCAUAGAUAUAUGGAGGAACACCAGUGGCGAGGGCGGCUCUCUGGUCUGUAACUGACGCUGAGGCUCGAAAGCGUGGGGAGCAAACAGG